UCAGGACGAACGCUGGCGGCGUGCCUAACACAUGCAAGUCGAACGAGAAUCUACUUAUGAAAUUUUCGGAUGGAUUAGGUAGAGGAAAGUGGCGAACGGGUGAGUAACGCGUGAGCAAUCUGCCUUGUACUGGGGGAUAACGUCGGGAAACCGGCGCUAAUACCGCAUAAUACUAUGAGAUCGCAUGGUCAUAUAGUCAAAACUCCGGUGGUACAAGAUGAGCUCGCGUCCAAUUAGCUAGUUGGUGGGGUAAUGGCCCACCAAGGCGACGAUUGGUAGCCGACCUGAGAGGGUGAACGGCCACACUGGAAUUGAGAAACGGUCCAGACUCCUACGGGAGGCAGCAGUGGGGAAUAUUGGGCAAUGGAGGAAACUCUUACCCAGCAAUGCCGCGUGAAGGAAGAAGGUCUUCGGAUUGUAAACUUCUGUUAUAGGUGACGAAGAAUGACGGUAGCCUAUGAGGAAGCCCCGGCAAACUAUGUGCCAGCAGCCGCGGUAAUACGUAGGUGGCAAGCGUUGUCCGGAAUUACUGGGUGUAAAGGGCGUGUAGGCGGGAAGGCAAGUCAGAUGUGAAAGCCCAUGGCUUAACUGUGGAAUUGCAUCUGAAACUGUUUUUCUUGAGUGCUGGAGAGGAAAGUGGAAUUCCUAGUGUAACGGUGAAAUGCGUAGAGAUUAAGAGGAACACCAGUGGCGAAGGCGGCUUUCUGGACAGUAACUGACGCUGAGGCGCGAAAGGGUGGGGAACAAACAGGAUUAGAUACCCUGGUAGUCCACGCUGUAAACAAUGGAAACGAGGUGUGGGAGGUAUCGACCCCUUCCGUGCCGGAGUUAACACAAUAAGUAUCCCACCUGGGGAGUACGGCCGCAAGGCUGAAACUCAAAGGAAUUGACGGGGGCCCGCACAAGCAGUGGAGUAUGUGGUUUAAUUCGAAGCAACGCGAAGAACCUUACCAGGGCUUGACAUACCGAUGACCGGGUUAGAGAUAACCCUUCCCUUCGGGGCAUCGGAUACAGGUGGUGCAUGGUUGUCGUCAGCUCGUGUCGUGAGAUGUUGGGUUAAGUCCCGCAACGAGCGCAACCCCUGUUGUUAGUUGCCAUCAUUAAGUUGGGCACUCUAACAAGACUGCCGGUGACAAAUCGGAGGAAGGUGGGGAUGACGUCAAAUCAUCAUGCCCCUUAUGUCCUGGGCUACACACGUACUACAAUGGCGAUUACAGAGGGCAGCGAAACCGCGAGGUGGAGCAAAUCCCUAAAGGUCGCCCCAGUUCAGAUUGCAGGCUGAAACUCGCCUGCAUGAAGUAGGAAUUGCUAGUAAUGGCAGGUCAGCAUACUGCCGUGAAUACGUUCCCGGGCCUUGUACACACCGCCCGUCACACCAUGAGAGUUGACAACACCCGAAGUCAGUAGCUUAACCGCAAGGAGAGCGCUGCCGAAGGUGGGGUUGAUGAUU
RNAcentral lists this ribosomal RNA (1450 nucleotides) under uncultured bacterium. Its description in RNAcentral is "16S ribosomal RNA". It matches the Rfam family "Bacterial small subunit ribosomal RNA". The record is from RNAcentral.